Hemicordylus capensis (graceful crag lizard) is the source of this 385-nucleotide long non-coding RNA. RefSeq lists it as uncharacterized. NCBI's taxonomy places the organism in Eukaryota, Metazoa, Chordata, Lepidosauria, Squamata, Cordylidae. The record is from RefSeq and is a predicted model, not a curated record. The transcript has 3 exons.
GAAGCCUGAACUCCAGUGCCCCAGCAGGCAGCCAGCAAGGAAGGAAUAAGGAGGCAGGCUGAGUGGCCAUCGCUGACUGCCUUUUACCCACUACGGUUUUCUCUGCCCAGCACAGACCAGUCUUUGCCUUCUUAAUGGAGAUCAAAUAUUCCAAAGGAACUAUACAUCUCCAGUGAUAUCUUCUCCAAGAUAAAGCAGAAUCCAAGCAGUACUGAAGCCCUAGAACAUCUCACCACUCAGAAAAAUGAGGUUUGAGGUGCAAAUCUGUCUGAGGCUCCAUUGACCAGAUGCCUUAGCAGAGGCAGAGUUGGAAUGCUAUCCAGUAAUCUACCAAUCCUAAAAUAUGAUGGAAUCUGUCACACAGGGCACUUCAGGCUAUCUGUUA